CUGCCCUGCUUCGUUCUCGUUCCCAAUCCCAGCCUCACAGGCCUGCCCAAUCCCUAGACUACGCGCCGGCGGGCAGCAGAGGCAUGCCCAAUCAGCAGAGGACGGCGGCGGCUAGCGGUCGACGGGCGGAGGCGGCCGAGCGCAGUUGUGGGGCAGGCAGAGGCAGCGGAUACCGCUAGCAGCCGGCGGCGGCGGCCAACGGGCAACGGGCGCGCCGGCGCGGGACCGUGACGGGCUGACGGCGGUCGACUCGGCCAGACGGCCAGUCGGCCUCGGCGAGCGGCGAGCGCGGAGUGCUGGAGCGCAGCUGCGCACUACACAGGUUCAAAUCAUGAAGAGGAAGGGCAGUAGUGUUAUUACUGAUUUGAGGUCUUUUCUGCAAAGAACUGCAAAGAAAAAACAAUCUGAGCCAGAGAUUGUUACUCCAUUUAGUACCAAUGAAAGCCAAAUGAAGUUGGUGGUAUUCCAAGGCCAGAGUGACACUGGAACAAGCUCAGUUCAACCUCAACCAGUGAGAGAUGAGCAGCGGCGCCCAGUUGAACCCCCAAUAGCAGAAGAUGAUGAAUCUGAAUCCAGUGACAGUGAUGAAGACGAUAAUGGUUAUGACAUUGAACAAGAUCCCGGAUUGAGGGUUCCUAUCUCAAGCUAUCCUAUCAAUGACCGAGAUUCAGUUAGAAGGACGCUCAUUGCAAUGGGGCCAUGACAACCAAAAAUAAAGAAGGAGGAUUUCCCCCAACAUAAUUGUCGAGGUAUGCGCCGGUUCCAACCCAACUGGUUUGAUGAAUUCAACUGGCUUGAGUAUAGUGUGCAUAAAGAUGCUGCUUAUUGCUUUGUUUGCUAUUUGUUCAAAGAUAAUUGUGACGUUCGUGGUGGAGAUGCUUUUGUUGAUGGAGGGUUUCGAAAUUUGCACAUGAAAGCUAGAAUCCGUAAGCAUAUUGGUGUUGUUAAUAGUUCUCAUAAUAAAGCUGAAGAGAAAUAUAAAUUUUUCAUCAGGCCUAAGACAUCAAUCCGCGAGUCCUUUGCAUCAAACACUGAACAGUUCAAGGUCAAGUACUCCAAUGCAAAGAUCAAGAGCUUUCUAUAGAGGUGACCACCGGUUUCAUGCUGAUAUGUUUUUAAGUAUCAUUGAUAGACAAGUUCAAGAGCUUAAUAAUAGGUUUGAUGAGGUAAACACAGAGCUUCUUAGAUGCGUGGCAUCAUUCAAUCCAGCCAACUCAUUUUCUGCUUUUAAUUUUGAGAACUUGGAAAGCGUGCUAAGUUCUAUCCUCAUGACUUUGAAUUUGAAGAAAUGAAUCAACUUUCUUUUCAACUCAAGCGAUAUAUCAAUGAUGUGAGGAGUGAUGAAAAGUUUAAAAAUUUGAGAAGUCUAGCAGAGUUAUCUAUGAUGCUAGUUAAAGAAAGGAAGUUUCCUCAGUAUGAAACUGUUUAUAAACUUCUCAAAUUGGUGCCACUUCCUCCUGUUGCAACUGCUGGUGUUGAAAGGAUCUUUUCUAUAAUGAAUAUUGUCACAAAAACAAGAAAAGAAGCAAGGUGGGGCAGAGAUAUAUGAAUGGUUGCUUGGUCACAUUCACUGAAAGGGAAUUCUUCUUGCAAGCUAUGGAUCAGAACAUCAUCACUUUAUAUUCAAGGCAUGAAAGAUCGGAAAGUUAAUCUAUAGGCUGUAAGCUUUCUUAUUAGUUUGCUGUUUUGUCCUCUAUUUAUUUCAGAUGUUGAAACUCAUCCAUCUGUUGAACAACUUCAAGCUUGGAUCAAUUUUAUUAAUCGAUGAUGUUGGCACUCAA
This is a long non-coding RNA of Panicum virgatum (switchgrass), 1781 nucleotides long. RefSeq lists it as uncharacterized. The record is from RefSeq and is a predicted model, not a curated record. The transcript is spliced from 2 exons. NCBI's taxonomy places the organism in Eukaryota, Viridiplantae, Streptophyta, Magnoliopsida, Poales, Poaceae.